GAUGAACGCUGGCGGCGUGCCUAAUACAUGCAAGUCGAGCGAACAGACGAGAGAGCUUGCACUCUCUGACGUUAGCGGCGGACGGGUGAGUAACACGUGGGUAACCUACCUAUAAGACGGGGAUAACUUCGGGAAACCGGAGCUAAUACCGGAUAAUAUUUAGCUUCGCAUGAAGCAAUAGUGAAAGACGGUUCUGCUGUCACUUAUAGAUGGACCCGCGGUGUAUUAGCUAGUUGGUGAGGUAACGGCUCACCAAGGCAACGAUACAUAGCCGACCUGAGAUGGUGAUCGGCCACCCUGGGACUGAGCCACCGCCCAGACUCCUACGGGAGGCAGCAGUCGGGAAUCUUCCGCAAUGGACGUAAGUCUGACGGAUCAAUGCCGCGUGAGUGAAGAAGGUUUUCGGAUCGUAAAACUCUGUUGUAAUGGAAGAACAAGUGCGUUAGUAACUGAACGUACCUUGACGGUUCCUUAGCAGAAAGCCACUGCUAACUACGUU
This 499-nucleotide ribosomal RNA is filed under the name uncultured bacterium. RNAcentral's name for it is "partial 16S ribosomal RNA". It matches the Rfam family "Bacterial small subunit ribosomal RNA", at positions 28 to 507 of the family's 1533-position model. The record is from RNAcentral.